GACGAACGCUGGCGGCGUGCUUAACACAUGCCAGUCGAACGGAAAGGCCCUGCUUUUGUGGGGUGCUCGAGUGGCGAACGGGUGAGUAACACGUUAGUAACCUGCCCUUGACUUUGGGAUAACUUCAGGAAACUGGGGCUAAUACCGGAUAGGAGCUCCUGCUGCAUGGUGGGGGUUGGAAAGUUUCGGCGGUUGGGGAUGGACUCGCGGCUUAUCAGCUUGUUGGUGGGGUAGUGGCUUACCAAGGCUUUGACGGGUAGCCGGCCUGAGAGGGUGACCGGCAACAUUGGGACUGAGGUAAGGCCCAGACUCCUACGGGAGGCAGCAGUGGGGAAUAUUGCACAAUGGGCGGAAGCCUGAUGCAGCAACGCCGCGUGCGGGAUGACGGCCUUCGGGUUGUAAACCGCUUUCGCCUGUGACGAAGCGUGAGUGACGGUAAUGGGUAAAGAAGCACCGGCUAACUACGUG
RNAcentral lists this ribosomal RNA (468 nucleotides) under uncultured bacterium. RNAcentral's name for it is "partial 16S ribosomal RNA". It matches the Rfam family "Bacterial small subunit ribosomal RNA", at positions 28 to 507 of the family's 1533-position model. The record is from RNAcentral.